Pelobates cultripes (western spadefoot toad) is the source of this 225-nucleotide non-coding RNA. The record is from the annotation of a GenBank genome assembly. NCBI's taxonomy places the organism in Eukaryota, Metazoa, Chordata, Amphibia, Anura, Pelobatidae.
CAGAGAUCCUCACUAUGGGCUGUCCAGAGAUCCUCACUAUGGGCUGUCCAGAGAUUCUCACUUUGGGCUGUCCAGAGAUCCUCACUAUGGGCUGUCCAGAGAUCCUCACUAUGGGCUGUCCAGAGAUUCUCACUACGGGCUGUCCAGAGAUCCUCACUAUGGGCUGUCCAGAGAUCCUCACUAUGGGCUGUCCAGAGAUUCUCACUUUGAGCUGUCCAGAGAUCC